RNAcentral lists this ribosomal RNA (253 nucleotides) under uncultured bacterium. Its description in RNAcentral is "partial 16S ribosomal RNA". It matches the Rfam family "Bacterial small subunit ribosomal RNA", at positions 524 to 776 of the family's 1533-position model. The record is from RNAcentral.
UACGGGGGGGGCAAGCGUUGUUCGGAAUUACUGGGCGUAAAGCGUGCGUAGACGGUUAUGUAAGUCAGGUGUGAAAGCCCCGGGCUCAACCUGGGAAUUGCAUUUGAGACUGCAUAGCUAGGGUGCGGAAGAGGGAAGCGGAAUUCCCCAAGUAGAGGUGAAAUUCGUAGAUAUGGGGAGGAACACCGGUGGCGAAGGCGGCCACCUGGACGGUAACUGACGCUGAGACGCGAAAGCGUGGGGAGCAAACAGG